Molecule: unclassified non-coding RNA, 361 nt
Filed under: uncultured Ktedonobacteria bacterium
Lineage: Bacteria; Bacillati; Chloroflexota; Ktedonobacteria
Description: contains 16S-23S intergenic spacer region
Source: RNAcentral
UCCGGUUUGUUUCCGGCGGUCUCCCUAGAUAUGCAACUAAGGACAAGGGUUGCGCUCGUUGCGGGACUUAACCCAACAUCUCACGACACGAGCUGACGACAGCCAUGCAACAUCUGUCUAUCCGUCCCGAAGGAGGCACUUCUUUCAAAGUGUUGCGAAUAGAUGUCAAGCCCUGGUAAGGUUAUUCGCGUCGCAUCGAAUUAAACCACACGCUCCGCUGCUUGUGCGGGUCCCCGUCAAUUCCUUUGAGUUUUAGUCUUGCGACCGUACUCCCCAGGCGGGCCACUUAAUGCGUUAGCUGCGGCACGGAAGGGGUCAACACCCCCCACACCUAGUGGCCAUCGUUUACUGCUAGGACUAC